CAUGGUCUUCUGGGAAAGCUUUCGCGGUAUGGGAUGGGGUCGCGUCCUAUCAGCUUGACGGCGGGGUAACGGCCCACCGUGGCUUCGACGGGUAGCCGGCCUGAGAGGGCGACCGGCCACAUUGGGACUGAGAUACGGCCCAGACUCCUACGGGAGGCAGCAGUGGGGAAUAUUGCACAAUGGGCGCAAGCCUGAUGCAGCGACGCCGCGUGAGGGAUGGAGGCCUUCGGGUUGUAAACCUCUUUUAUCGGGGAGCGAGCGAGAGUGAGUUUACCCGUUGAAUAAGCACCGGCUAACUACGUGCCAGCAGCCGCGGUAAUACGUAGGGUGCAAGCGUUAUCCGGAAUUAUUGGGCGUAAAGGGCUCGUAGGCGGUUCGUCGCGUCCGGUGUGAAAGUCCAUCGCUUAACGGUGGAUCCGCGCCGGGUACGGGCGGG
Molecule: ribosomal RNA, 436 nt
Filed under: uncultured Bifidobacterium sp.
Lineage: Bacteria; Bacillati; Actinomycetota; Actinomycetes; Bifidobacteriales; Bifidobacteriaceae
Description: bacterial SSU rRNA
Rfam family: Bacterial small subunit ribosomal RNA
Source: RNAcentral